CAGUCGCCACGGUAAUACGAAGGUCCCAAGCGUUGUUCGGAAUCACUGGGCGUAAAGGGAGCGUAGGCGGCGUGGUAAGUCAGAUGUGAAAUCCCGGGGCUCAACCCCGGAACUGCAUCCGAUACUGCCAUGCUUGAGGGUUGGAGAGGUAGCUGGAAUUCUUGGUGUAGCAGUGAAAUGCGUGGAUAUCAAGGGGAACACUCGUGGCGAAGGCGAGCUACUGGACAACAUCUGACGCUAAGGCUCGAAGGCCAGGGUAGCGAAAGGGAUUAGAUACCCGUGUAGUCCCUGUCUCUUAUAA
This 301-nucleotide ribosomal RNA is filed under the name uncultured bacterium. RNAcentral's name for it is "partial 16S ribosomal RNA". It matches the Rfam family "Bacterial small subunit ribosomal RNA", at positions 509 to 809 of the family's 1533-position model. The record is from RNAcentral.